UUGUAUACAAUUGCCAUUGGAAUCCCUCCAGUCCCCUUGUUACUCCUUGUCACGGACUCCUGGUUUGCCUUCAUUAUUCGUGCAAAAAUCCCCUCUAGUGAUAUAUGUGUAGUGCAGAAUUCACUUUCUGAAAAUUGUAUAUAUUCCAAAGAUGGGCGUAUAAUGUAGUCAGUGUGUGUGUUCACGAAGCCCUAUAUAAUAGUGUGUGUGUGAGAGAGAGAGAGAGACAGAGACAGAGAGAGACAGAGAGAGAGAGAGAGAGAGAGAGAGAGAGAGAAUGAACAAGUUCAAUUUAAAGGAGUUGGUCUUCCACCGUAGAUUGUUACCCAGUUACAGAGAAUCCUACAAUUUCAAGGAACAGAGAGUAUCAAUACCUAAAACAAAAUAUCGUGUAUCAGGUGACGUAUCACUCCUGCACGUUUGUAAUAUUUUUCACAUACAAUGUACUUAAUUUUGCUUUAUACACUGCAACUCGAGGCACUAUUUCCAGAGAGUUGUUUAUACAGAUCCUUGAUCUCGAUUGAUGGUGAGCUUUUGGCGUUUGAUAUGAAUGGCUUCAGUGAGUUUACGUUUCGUGAAAUACUUAAUAUUCCUUUUGGUUUUUGGCCAGUAUGGUGAUGUCAGUCCAGUUUACGUGGUGAUUAGGGUUAGAUUGGAUGUGAUCAGAGAUGGCUGAUUUGCUGUCGGACUUGAUGACGGAGGUCUGGGGUUCUUUCACACGGGUGUUGAUGGGUCGGGAUGUUUCACCUAUGUAACUCUGUCCACCAUACCGUUUUCAAAGCUAUUUUGCCAAAUGUCGGCCAUUUUGAAAAAUGGCUGCCGUUGCUGCCUUUGGCUUAUAUAGUAAUACUUCUAAGACCAGAACUCUUUGCUUUUCACUGAUGUAAUUCUGUGCUGUGUUUCUUAAUAUGACUCAUGUAGCAGUUAUUACAGAUGUAUCUAUCCCACCAUGCAGAUAUAUCAAUAAAAUGAACGUCCUUUUUUUGCAAUGGGUACCUUGCAUCAAACUGCCUCGUUUUUACUUACCCUAUAAUUUGGGAUUACAUGGUACCUGGACCUUUUACAUAGAAGUUGUUGAACACGGCAUUUUUUUGGUCCUGGCUUAACUCCUGUUCUGUUAUAGAGUAGAAUAGAUUCUCAGUAACACAUUUGUUUCCCAACGUGGCAGAUUACAUCCUCAGCAUCUCGUACUUGUCUCUUGGCUAUAAUACUGACUGCCUGACUGACUGACUGAUUUAGUUGUACGCCGACAUGAGGCUUUUACAACAUUCACUCGAAACUGAUACAAUGUGCAUGCCAGUGUAUGUAAAUAAAGCCAAUAAAGAAAACACUUUGAUUAUUAAGGAUUUUAAUG
This is a long non-coding RNA of Haliotis rubra (blacklip abalone), 1354 nucleotides long. RefSeq lists it as uncharacterized. The record is from RefSeq and is a predicted model, not a curated record. The transcript has 2 exons. Lineage: Eukaryota; Metazoa; Mollusca; Gastropoda; Lepetellida; Haliotidae.